RNAcentral lists this ribosomal RNA (255 nucleotides) under uncultured bacterium. Its description in RNAcentral is "partial 16S ribosomal RNA". It matches the Rfam family "Bacterial small subunit ribosomal RNA", at positions 524 to 776 of the family's 1533-position model. The record is from RNAcentral.
UACGGAGGGUGCAAGCAUUAAUCGGAUUUACUGGGCGUAAAGGGCGCGUAGGCGGGUUUGUAAGUCAAAUGUGAAAUUCCGGAGCUCAACUCCGGAGCGGCAUUUGAAACUGCAGAUCUAUAGAGGGAUGGCGGAGAAAACGGAAUUCCACGUGUAGCGGUGAAAUGCGUAGAUAUGUGGAAGAACACCUGUGGCGAAAGCGGUUUUCUAGCUAUUUCCUGACGCUGAGGCGCGAGAGCAUGGGGAGCAAACAGG